RNAcentral lists this long non-coding RNA (253 nucleotides) under Solanum tuberosum (potato). RNAcentral's name for it is "long non-coding RNA (STUB_LNC000709)". The record is from RNAcentral. Lineage: Eukaryota; Viridiplantae; Streptophyta; Magnoliopsida; Solanales; Solanaceae.
CUCCUUAGCCUCUCCCCGCAACACCAUAUCUCGAAUUCGACUCAGCUUCUCAUCCUCAAACUGCUUUCCCUUAAUCUUGUCAAGAAAAGAAGAUCUUGCCUCCACACAGGCCAAAAAUCCUCCUUUUUCAAGUAUUUCCAGCCUCAUAAAGUCAUUAGCCAAGGUUUGCACCUCUCUAGCCAAUGGGCGUCUAGAAACCUGUAAGUGGGCUAAACUACCCAUGCUCCCUGCUUUUCUACUUAGAGCAUCUGCC